ACUGCCCUAUCACGUGACUGAUUGCUGAGGAUAGCUGCCCUACCAUGUGAUAGUUGCCCUACCACGUGCCUGACGGGCUUUUCCAUUCUCCUGAGACCCCAAGUCAUCGACUUUCAAACCCAAAUUCUCUUAAGGAAAUAGCGUCUUGAAAGUAGGGACGUGCUUCUGUUGGUAAAGUGCUCGCCACGCAUGCCUAAGGACCUGGAUUUAAUCUCAACAGCCAUGCGAAGCUAGGCGUAUGCUUGCGAUCCCAGCCCCGAGAGGGUGUGGGAGGAAGAUUCCUGAACUUGGCUGAACUGGCAAGCUCUUGUUCGGUGAGAGACCCUGUCUCACAAAGUAGGACGGGAGCUGGAGAGAUGACUCAGUGGUUUAGAGAACUCUGCCCCUACAGAGGAACUGGGUUUGAUUCCCAGCACCCUUGGUGUGGCUCACAACGACCUGUAACUCCAGUUCCUGGGGACCUGACAGCUGUCUCUAACCUCUGUGGAUACCAGGCAUAUGGUACUGCACAUACACACAGGCAAAACAUUCAUACCCAUGAAAUAAAAUGAAUAAAUCUAAAAAUUAAAAUAAGGUGGAGAGUGAUUGAUGGAUAUAUCCAAUAUCAGCCUCUGACAUCCUAUGCAUGCACCUUCAUGCCUACCGACAUAUGUACUACACAUGAACGCACACAGGAACACAUAUACACACAUGUACAUGAAUGUCUUUAUACAUCUACCCACAUCUGUGUACAUGAACACAUAUACACACAUGCACAUGAGCAUCUCUACAUGUCAACCCACAUAUGUACACAUGAACACACACAUGAACAUAAUGUCCACAAGAAAUAAUAAACAUCUCACAAUCAAUUUCUAGAUUUAUUAACUGGAAUAAUAUUUUGGAAUAAUAUCCUUCAGUGAGAAGAGAUGGUACCUGUGCCCACUGAGCCUACAUAUAUUAUUUAAUAAGCACAUUCAGGGCACUGCUGAGAUCCUGGGCAAUCUAUCUGUAUAUUGACCCCUCCGUUCCCUAUACCAACUUGAUGAUGUAGCUGCUGUCUGUAUUAUCAUAUGCAAAUGAGAAAACAGCCUGAAGAGACUGGCGGAACAAGCCCCAAGUCUUCCAAUCAAGAGGCCAAGCUGGGAUUUGAACCUAGGAAGCUUGGCUUCAUUGUCCAUACCUUAGGCCACAAGGAUACAGAGCCUCUCGUCUGGGUUCCUUCAGAGCUCUUCAUCCGAAGCACAUAGCAUAUGUGGGCUUUUCUUGCUUCCGAAUCGCAGCUCUAGAUGGUCUGUGCCAGCUGAGCCCUGGUGAUUCUUUUAAAAGCCGUUUCCCAUGUUUUCCUCUGUUAGAAGCCUGCCCAUAGAUUAAUGACCCCACUGCCAGGCUCUGUGCCAACACUCCUAGGCGCAAGAAGUGGCAACAGAAGGCUCUGGACAGUGUGGCUCCAGCAUGGCCCAGAGUCUGCCCGAGCCCACAGAGCUGCUGUCGGGAGGAUUUACAGCAGUGCUGACUGGUACCUCAUGCUUGCCAGGACCUAUCGGAAGAUCAGGGCCUGACUGAGCCAGCCCUGCUUCCCCUCCAGUUCCGAGGCCUGCAGAACCUCACCUGCCAGUGACCAGGGGUUGCACAGCCCACGAGACACAUGCCCGGGGCUGGCUUGGGGGAACGGUUGGUUUCCGUCUGCUUCACGUCAGGUGGAGAAGUGAGACUCGGAAGAUCAUCCUGCCCGAUAGCCCUUUUACCAAGCUUCCUCCAUGCUUUCGUCUCGCUCGUGGUUUCCAGGAAUAAAAAAGAGUGGGGACAGCAGGCAGGGGCACACAUUCUGCAGCCACACAGGCCAAUUAGCCUUCCACCCACUUAUUAGUUGUGCAGCUCUGGGCAGGAUCCCCAUCUGCUCUGUCCGCUUCCUCAUCUAUAAAACAGAGAUUUAAAAAAAAUGAAAGGAGUAUCCGACUUGAGGAACUACUGUGAGAAUCAAAGCCACAAACAGCUGUAGGCAAGUUUCCACAGUGCUGGUCACAGUGCAGGCAAGGGGCUGAGGACUUAGUGUCCAAAAUCAGGGACUCAGGCCAGACUUACUGACUGCGAAGCCCAGCUGUGCUACUUACUCCUGUGUGACCUGGGGUAGGUUUCCUAACAUCUCUGUGUCUCCGUCUCCUACAGGAAGUGAAUAAACUCAAAGUCUUUAUAAUAUAGGCUCACCGUGAGAUUUAAAUAAAUCAGCAUUUGUC
RNAcentral lists this long non-coding RNA (2213 nucleotides) under Mus musculus (house mouse). RNAcentral describes it as "long non-coding RNA chr17:86230485-86232698". Lineage: Eukaryota; Metazoa; Chordata; Mammalia; Rodentia; Muridae. The record is from RNAcentral.